CACAAUCAUCCACCGGCCCCAGACUGACUUAUCAAAGCAGAAACCAAGAUGGCAAAGCAUAGCCAUACUUGGACAGCAGUACCAUCAACUCUGGCAACAAAAAUAUGCAGACCAUGUGCUGACACGCUUCUGGGCCCUGGGGAGAGAUCAGUGAGCAAGAGAGAUGAAGUCGCUACUGGAUGAGUCAGACUUGGCUUAACAGGCCAGCUUCAGAAAAUGUCACUAUGGAGGGGAGCAAACGUGGCAGAGUCUCAAGACGGCAGAUAGGACAGGUAAGUUCCAGUGGGAUUGACAG
Molecule: long non-coding RNA, 295 nt
Filed under: Ursus americanus (American black bear)
Lineage: Eukaryota; Metazoa; Chordata; Mammalia; Carnivora; Ursidae
Description: lncRNA (ENSUAMG00000005169.1)
Source: RNAcentral